RNAcentral lists this ribosomal RNA (928 nucleotides) under Paraphaeosphaeria minitans. RNAcentral's name for it is "partial large subunit ribosomal RNA". It matches the Rfam family "Eukaryotic large subunit ribosomal RNA", at positions 69 to 1003 of the family's 3401-position model. The record is from RNAcentral. Lineage: Eukaryota; Fungi; Ascomycota; Dothideomycetes; Pleosporales; Didymosphaeriaceae.
CAGGGAUUGCCCUAGUAACGGCGAGUGAAGCGGCAACAGCUCAAAUUUGAAAUCUGGCUCUCUUUGGGGGUCCGAGUUGUAAUUUGCAGAGGAUGCUUUGGCAUUGGCGGCGGUCUAAGUUCCUUGGAACAGGACAUCACAGAGGGUGAGAAUCCCGUACGUGGUCGCCUGCCUUUGCCGUGUAAAGCUCCUUCGACGAGUCGAGUUGUUUGGGAAUGCAGCUCUAAAUGGGAGGUAAAUUUCUUCUAAAGCUAAAUACUGGCCAGAGACCGAUAGCGCACAAGUAGAGUGAUCGAAAGAUGAAAAGUACUUUGGAAAGAGAGUCAAAAAGCACGUGAAAUUGUUGAAAGGGAAGCGCUUGCAGCCAGACUUGCCCGCAGUUGCUCACCUAGGCUUUGGCCUGGGGCACUCUUCUGCGGGCAGGCCAGCAUCAGUUUGGGCGGUUGGAUAAAGGCCUCUGUCACGUAUCUCCCUUCGGGGUGACCUUAUAGGGGAGGCGCAAUGCAACCAGCCCGGACUGAGGUCCGCGCUUCGGCUAGGAUGCUGGCGUAAUGGCUGUAAGCGGCCCGUCUUGAAACACGGACAAAGGAGUCUAACAUCUAUGCGAGUGUUUGGGUGUCAAGCCCGAGCGCGCAAUGAAAGUGAACGGAGGUGGGAACCCUUUGGGUGCACCAUCGACCGAUCCUGAUGUCUUCGGAUGGAUUUGAGUAAGAGCAUAGCUGUUGGGACCCGAAAGAUGGUGAACUAUGCUUGAAUAGGGUGAAGCCAGAGGAAACUCUGGUGGAGGCUCGCAGCGGUUCUGACGUGCAAAUCGAUCGUCAAAUUUGGGCAUAGGGGCGAAAGACUAAUCGAACCAUCUAGUAGCUGGUUCCUGCCGAGUUUCCCUCAAGAAACCCAGACCAGCUACUAGAUGGUCGAUUAAGUCUUU